UACGAAGGGGGCUAGCGUUGCUCGGAAUCACUGGGCGUAAAGCGCACGUAGGCGGCUUUCUAAGUCAGGGGUGAAAUCCUGGAGCUCAACUCCAGAACUGCCUUUGAUACUGGAGAGCUUGAGUCCGGAAGAGGUGAGUGGAACUCCGAGUGUAGAGGUGAAAUUCGUAGAUAUUCGGAAGAACACCAGUGGCGAAGGCGACUUACUGGACACAUAUUGACGCUGAGGUGCGAAAGCGUGGGGAGCAAACAGGG
RNAcentral lists this ribosomal RNA (254 nucleotides) under uncultured bacterium. Its description in RNAcentral is "partial 16S ribosomal RNA". It matches the Rfam family "Bacterial small subunit ribosomal RNA", at positions 524 to 777 of the family's 1533-position model. The record is from RNAcentral.